This 492-nucleotide ribosomal RNA is filed under the name uncultured bacterium. RNAcentral's name for it is "partial 16S ribosomal RNA". It matches the Rfam family "Bacterial small subunit ribosomal RNA", at positions 29 to 507 of the family's 1533-position model. The record is from RNAcentral.
AGUGAACGCUGGCGGUAGGCCUAACACAUGCAAGUCGAACGGCAGCACAGUAAGAGCUUGCUCUUACGGGUGGCGAGUGGCGGACGGGUGAGGAAUACAUCGGAAUCUACUUUUUCGUGGGGGAUAACGUAGGGAAACUUACGCUAAUACCGCAUACGACCUACGGGUGAAAGCAGGGGAUCUUCGGACCUUGCGCGAUUGAAUGAGCCGAUGUCGGAUUAGCUAGUUGGCGGGGUAAAGGCCCACCAAGGCGACGAUCCGUAGCUGGUCUGAGAGGAUGAUCAGCCACACUGGAACUGAGACACGGCCCAGACUCCUACGGGAGGCAGCAGUGGGGAAUAUUGGACAAUGGGGGCAAGCCUGAUCCAGCCAUACCGCGUGCGUGAAGAAGGCCUUCGGGUUGUAAACCGCUUUUGUUGGGAAAGAAAAGCAGCAGGCUAAUACCCCGGUGUUAUGACGGUACCGAAAGAAUAAGCACCGGCUAACUUCGUG